UACAGAGGGUGCGAGCGUUGUUCGGAAUCACUGGGCGUAAAGCGCGCGCAGGCGGGCGUGUAAGUCAGAAGUGAAAUUCCGGGGCUCAACCCCGGAGCUGCUCCUGAUACUGCAGGUCUGGAGACCGGUAGAGGCUGGUGGAAUUCCCGGUGUAGCGGUGGAAUGCGUAGAGAUCGGGAAGAACACCCGUGGCGAAGGCGGCCAGCUGGGCCGUUACUGACGCUGAGACGCGAAAGCGUGGGGAGCAAACAGG
RNAcentral lists this ribosomal RNA (253 nucleotides) under uncultured bacterium. RNAcentral's name for it is "partial 16S ribosomal RNA". It matches the Rfam family "Bacterial small subunit ribosomal RNA", at positions 524 to 776 of the family's 1533-position model. The record is from RNAcentral.